AGCGGAACGAGAGGGGGCUUUAUCCUUGAUACUUCUGUCUGACUCAUUUCAUCCUAUGUUUCGACAUUUCCAAGAGCACAGCCCAAAUUCAGGUGGUACAUUCAGUGUCAGUAACAGAUCGAGCGAAGGGGAUCGGACAGUGGACAGUUCUGCAACCCCAUUUCACAAAAUCUUCAAUUUCUUUGAAAUUAUCUAAUGGUAGCAAGCUCGAUCGAAUGGCGGGGAAAA
This 228-nucleotide unclassified non-coding RNA is filed under the name Hevea brasiliensis (rubber tree). Lineage: Eukaryota; Viridiplantae; Streptophyta; Magnoliopsida; Malpighiales; Euphorbiaceae. The record is from RNAcentral.